Molecule: unclassified non-coding RNA, 2701 nt
Filed under: Pomacea canaliculata
Lineage: Eukaryota; Metazoa; Mollusca; Gastropoda; Architaenioglossa; Ampullariidae
Description: poly [ADP-ribose] polymerase 14-like, transcript variant X2
Source: RNAcentral
GAGUGCACAAACACGUACGCACUGUUCUAACUGAUGCCAACGAUAAGCAAUCUACUCAACAAUGCAGACGUCCACAAAUAAGUCUUGUAUUCAAGUUCGUGUGAAGCAUGAUUCUCUCCAUAAAUUCAGUAAAGACCACCUUCUUAAUUACCUGGAAUCUAUAUGGGACUGCAGUGUGAAAGAAUUGAAAGUUGCCUGCAUGGGUAAUGCAGCAAUAAUUUGUUUUACAGAAGCUCAAGAUUUCACUACUCUUCAGAGAACAUGUUCAGAAAAGCCAUUAGAAGAGAUGGUUCUAGAAGUCAAAAGGACUUUUGAAGGAGGUGUCAUCCUGGUUUCCAAUCCACUCCCUAAAACGACAGAUGAUUGCUUUGUGUACUACUUCAAAAAUACUCGACGUAGUGGCGGAGAUCAGAGUGCUACAAUAAUGAAGAGAGACCCAGCACACAAAUUUCUGCUUGUUCAAUUCAGCAGUAAAGAAGUGGCAGAGAAGAUUUUGCAACGGACACAUUGUCUUGAAGGCACCCAGCUGGAGUUGAAAGCCUUUGAUCCUGAUUUAGACUCCCUGCCUUCAGAACAAGAACCUGAACCUGCCCAGGGAAAUCUUUCAGCAGCUGAUAAUGAAUAUCAUGCGAGAAGAGAUUUGGAAAGUACUUCAAAUUCCUUAGAUCACAACAUGCAAUGCUUUGAAACACAAAAACAGCAGCAAAUGACAGCCAAUGAAAAUUGCACAAGAUAUGUUGAAGGAAUGCACAGAGUUUAUCGAGGCACUAUAGAGGUGUUAAGUGAAGUGGAUUCAGAUCUUUUUCAAGAAGUCAGCAUCAAAGAGGAAGGUGAUAAACUUUUAAUUGAGGGUAAAAACCAGGGAGCAGUUGAAAAUAUUGAUAAUUUGCUGAAAAACCUUGUAAGGAUGCAGGCAACCUCUAAAUACUUGAGUAAAGUAGGAGAGGAAUUUACAGAAUGGAAUGAAAUCUUCACGAAAAUUAGAGAGGAAAUAGAAGAGUUUGGUUAUAUUAUUUCUGUGCGAGAUGCAGCAGAUGGUAGCAGGGCAAAGAAAUUUGCAUUAAAACAUGCAAAAGCUCCAUCUCCAUUGAUCAGAUGCUGGAAAAUUUCCUUAUGAGAGAAGACAUCAGUGUCACAAGCAAUGCAGAAAGAGAUCUUUUGACCACAACAGAAUGGGACAGAUUUUUAACUAAAGACCUUGAGGAAGAUUUUGGAGGGAAAGUAUUUGCAGUCUAUAAAGAACACAAACAGUGCUAUUAUGGUAUUUGCUCCUGCAGACCUGAUUGAGAAGCUAAAAGUUGUGUGAGUCAGUUUCUCAGUAAUUCACACAUGACAGAAUAUCUGGAAUUAACUGAAAAGGAAAAAACAUAUCUGCAGCUGUAUCAUAGCGAUAAACUAACUGACCUUCAGAUGCAAACUGGGGCGGAUAACAGUAUCAUUACAUUCACCAGUGAUGGCUGCACCAUUUCAGGAUUCAGAGCAGGUGUCAGAAAUGCAUUAGGCUUUCUCAAAAAGUUUUGCAAAGAAUUUUUUUGCAGACGUGAAAUUUUCUACCACUAUGGGUUAAAAACUUCAUGAAUCUGAAUCUUGGCAAAAGUUGAUAAAAAAGCGGAAAGAGAGAACAAAUGCAUCAUUACAGACUUGCCAGAUGGAAGGAUUAGAUGUGAAGAUGGGACUUUUGAAGCUUGGGGAUUAAGGUUAGCAGCAGUAAUUAAGUCGUACAAGAGUUCGCAUAAUGCACCUUUUUUUCACCUCGUGGAUGGAGAUGUCAGCAGUAUGAAGACAGAUGCCAUUGUUCAGUACCUUUUUCACAGGGACGACGACUAUGCAAUGUCAGCUUCUGCAAGUGGCACUGAGAACUUUGAAGAAAAAGGUGCACGACCAAAACUGCAGGCUGUAGACAUCUGCAAGACUCCUGUACAAAGAGGUGUGCAUGUUGUGCAAUCUGGUAGAUUGCCAUGUAAAGCUGUCAUCAACAUUCCAUUUGAAAAUGAAAUCUCCAUGCAAGGAGAUUGUUUGAAAACGUUGGUUCAUGACAUUCUUAUGACUGCAGAAAAGCAUCAUUUCACAAGUCUUGCAAUGCCAAGCUAUUGGUGUAGAUGGAACCCAUGAGCCCAUGGCAGUUCAUGAUGCCAGUGAGGCUAUAGUGGAUGGAAUUUUAAGCUAUUUUCAUCAGAGAAGCUGUGAUACAGAGAAAGGGUUCAGACUUCAAAAAGCAGUCACAUCAAACAAUAUAUUUCUGUGCUCUAGCAGACCAGCCUGUUUCAAAGGGUUUGAAUUUGAACUUGAAUUUCAGCAUGAAAUGGACAAGCUUAAUGAUCCAGAUCUUUUGAUUCACCAGUAUGUGGCCUGUAAACAGGAGAGUUUGCAGGGAAGACCAGUUGAAACUAAAAAAACACUUCAGAAAGACAGUAUUCAAGUCAUUUCUGGAGAUAUUUGUAUCAUCCAGGCAGAUGCCAUUGUAGUACCACUUGACAGUGAUCUUGAUCUUAGCAAGAAUAGGGUUACCUCAUCACUGUCAUACCAUGGUGGCUCACGAGUUGAAAAAACUUUACGAGGUGAUGGCUGGUGGGGUGACCCAAUUGGGAACCGGAUGGAACUGUUUGAGAUGGAAGGUAUUCUGAUAGGCAGUGGUGGGAAUUUGAAAGCUAAGCACAUCUUCUAUCUGAACCUUCCCUCUUGGGGGCCUGGGGCAUCAAAG